AAUCUUUCCCGCCCUAAGCUCAUCCCCUGCUGCUUGUCAUCCCUUGCCCUGCCUUGCCACUUGCCGACCCUUGCUGACCCGUGCUCCUCGCUGACAGCCUCUUUACCAAAUUUUCGUUCUCAUAACUCUCUUCUUUCUAAGAUCAAUAGCUGUUUUGGUCUUCUUGCGUUAACUUUUAGCUCUGUAAUCAAACGUUAUUAUGUUAAGUAGGUUGUUGCUUUGUUAUCUGUGGAAGAGGUAGACUGGGAGCUCCUUCACGGCAGUGUCAAGUUUGCAACCAAGCUCAAUCCAAUUGUUCUCUGGCAUGUUUCAAGAGACACAAAGGAACAAAUUUGCUUCUCUGCUUGAUGCAGAAACCCCCAGCACGAAGCCAAAAUCCA
Long non-coding RNA from Theobroma umbraticum, 380 nucleotides. RefSeq lists it as uncharacterized. The record is from RefSeq and is a predicted model, not a curated record. NCBI's taxonomy places the organism in Eukaryota, Viridiplantae, Streptophyta, Magnoliopsida, Malvales, Malvaceae.